Molecule: non-coding RNA, 298 nt
Organism: Manis javanica (Malayan pangolin)
Lineage: Eukaryota; Metazoa; Chordata; Mammalia; Pholidota; Manidae
Source: RefSeq, a predicted model, not a curated record
GAUUUACCCACAUUUCAAUAGUAGGAAGUCAUUUUUAAUGUGACUAUUUAAAAUUUGUUUUUUCUCCUAGGAGGAUCUGACACCUAAGGAUAUUGAAGAAAUUAUUGAUGAGCUCAAGGCUGGCAAAAAUCCAAAACCUGGGCCAAGGAGUGGACGCUUCUCUUGUGAGCCUGCUGGGGGUCUUACGUCUUUGACUGAACCACCCAAAGGACCUGGCUUUCGUGUGCAAGUGGGUCUUUAAUUUAUAUUCAACUGUAAAAUACGUCACUGAAGAAAUAAAAUAUGAAUCUCGUGUCUA